AUUCUGUCUAGUAAUAUCAACAAUAAAUUUUUGCCUUAACAUUGAUUUUAAGCCAUGCAUGUGUAAGUACAAUGUUUUAAACAUGAAACCGCGGAAAGCUCAUUAUAACAGCUAUAGACUACACGGUAAAUAUUUUAGUUGGAUAACUGAGGUAAUUCUUGAGCUAAUACACGCUAUUUAUACCACAUUAGUGGUGCGUUUAUUUGAUUAAACCAUUUAUAUUGGUUGACUCAAAAUAUCCUCGCUGAUUUUGUUACUAAAACAUACCGUAUGUGUAUCUGGUUUAUCAACUUUCGAUGGUAGGGUAUUGGCCUACCAUGGUUGUGACGGAUAACGGAGAAUUAGGGUUCGACUCCGGAGAGGGAGCCUGAGAAACGGCUACCACAUCCAAGGAAGGCAGCAGGCGCGAAAAUUACCCAAUUUUAGUUAAAAGAGGUAGUGACGAAAAAUGACAACCAAAUAUUAUUAUUAAUAUUUGGAUUGAAAAUCUUCAAGUUUAAAUAACUUGUUGGUAAAGGAAAGGGCAAGUCUGGUGCCAGCAGCCGCGGUAAUACCAGCUUUCCAAGUGCAUAAAAUGAUUGUUGUGGUUAAAAAGCUCGUAGUUGGAUUAUAAAGAUUGUAUAAUGAGCAUCUUGGAUGUUAUUAAUCAUUAUCAUCUUAUAUUUUUAUUAUAUUAGAAAUAAUAUAAUAACUGUUACUUUGAAUAAAUCAGAGGGUUUAAACCAGACAUUAUAUGUUUGUAUGGUCUAGCAUGGAAUAACACUAUAGAAAAAUUUAGUGUGGUUUCACUUAAUUUUUCAUGAUUAAUAGGAACAAACGGGGGCAUUCGUAUCGCUACGUUAGAGGUGAAAUUCUUGGACCGUAGCGAGACGUCCUACUGCGAAAGCAUUUGCCAAGAAUGUUUUCAUUAAUCAAGAACGAAAGUUAGAGGUUCGAAGGCGAUCAGAUACCGCCCUAGUUCUAACCGUAAACUAUGCCUACUAGAUGUAUGAAUUAUUAGUUAUAAUAAUUUAUGCAUCUUCUCGGAAACGAAAGUCUUUCGGUUCCGGGGGAAGUAUGGUUGCAAAGCUGAAACUUAAAGGAAUUGACGGAAGGGCACCACCAGGAGUGGAGCCUGCGGCUUAAUUUGACUCAACACGGGAAAACUCACCCGGGCCGGACACUAUAAGGAUUGACAGAUUGAUAGCUCUUUCAUGAUUUAGUGGUUGGUGGUGCAUGGCCGUUCUUAGUUCGUGGAUAUGAUUUGUCUGGUUGAUUCCGAUAACGAGCGAGACUUUUAUGUUAUAUUAAAUAUUAUUAUUUGUUUAUUUUAUAUAAAUAAUUAAUAUUUUAAUAACAGAUUAAUAGUGUUUAACUAUUUGAGAGAGAGCGAUAACAGGUCUGUGAUGCCCUUAGAUGUCCGGGGCUGCACGCGCGCUACAAUGUAGUGAUCAUUAUGUUCCUGUUUAGAGAUAAAUGGGUAAACAUUGAAAACAUUACGUAACUGGGAGUGAAACUUGCAAUUAUGUUUCAUGAACGAGGAAUUCCAAGUAAACGUAAGUCAUUAGCUUACAUUGAUUACGUCCCUGCCCUUUGUACACACCGCCCGUCGCUGCCCGGAACUGAGCAAUAUCGAGAGGCAGGAAGAGAUGUAAUAAAUUUUUAAUUUUUUUUAUAUUAAAUCCUUCCAAUCGCUGUUGUUUGAACCGGGCAAAAGUCGUAACAAGGUUUUCGUAGGUGAACCUGCGAAAGGAUCAUUAU
This 1740-nucleotide ribosomal RNA is filed under the name Strongyloides procyonis. RNAcentral describes it as "SSU rRNA". It matches the Rfam family "Eukaryotic small subunit ribosomal RNA". Lineage: Eukaryota; Metazoa; Nematoda; Chromadorea; Rhabditida; Strongyloididae. The record is from RNAcentral.